UACGUAGGGGGCAAGCGUUGUCCGGAUUUAUUGGGCGUAAAGAGCGUGUAGGCGGCUAGGUAGGUCCGUUGUGAAAACUCGAGGCUCAACCUCGAGACGUCGAUGGAAACCAUCUGGCCAGAGUCCGGAAGAGGAGAGUGGAAUUCCUGGUGUAGCGGUGAAAUGCGCAGAUAUCAGGAAGAACACCCGUGGCGAAGGCGGCUCUCUGGUACGUGACUGACGCUGAGACGCGAAAGCGUGGGGAGCGAACAGG
This 253-nucleotide ribosomal RNA is filed under the name uncultured bacterium. Its description in RNAcentral is "partial 16S ribosomal RNA". It matches the Rfam family "Bacterial small subunit ribosomal RNA", at positions 524 to 776 of the family's 1533-position model. The record is from RNAcentral.